Molecule: ribosomal RNA, 661 nt
Filed under: uncultured fungus
Lineage: Eukaryota; Fungi
Description: eukaryotic LSU rRNA
Rfam family: Eukaryotic large subunit ribosomal RNA
Source: RNAcentral
CCCGCUGAACUUAAGCAUAUCAAUAAGCGGAGGAAAAGAAACUAACAAGGAUUCCCUUAGUAACUGCGAGUGAAGUGGGAAAAGCUCAAAUUUAGAAUCUGGCAGUCACUUGGCUGUCCGAGUUGUAAUCUAGAGAAGUGUUGCCCGUGCUGGACCAUGUACAAGUCUCCUGGAAUGGAGCAUCACAGAGGGUGAGGAUCCUGUCUUUGACAUGGACUGCCAGUGCUUUUGUGGUAUGCUCUCAAAGAGUCGAGUUGUUUGGGAAUGCAGCUCAAAAUGGGUGGUAAAUGCCACCUAAAGCUAAAUAUUGGCGAGAGACCGAUAGCGAACAAGUACCGUGAGGGAAAGAUGAAAAGAACUUUGGAAAGAGAGUUAAACAGUACGUGAAAUUGCUGAAAGGGAAACGCUUGAAGUCAGUCACGUUGACUCGGAAUCAGCUCUGCUUUUGCUGGGUGUACUUUCUUGUCAAUGGGUCAGCAUCAAUUUUUACCAUUGGAUAAAGUUGCUGGGAACGUAGCAUCCUUUUGGAUGUGUUAUAGCCUGGUGAUGCAUACAGUGGUUGGGAUUGAGGAAUUCAGCACGCCACCAGGGCCGGGUUUUGACCACGUUCGUGCUUAGGAUGCUGGCAUAAUGGCUUUAAUUGACCCGUCUUGAAACACGG